This 404-nucleotide ribosomal RNA is filed under the name uncultured bacterium. RNAcentral describes it as "partial 16S ribosomal RNA". It matches the Rfam family "Bacterial small subunit ribosomal RNA", at positions 28 to 526 of the family's 1533-position model. The record is from RNAcentral.
GACGAACGCUGGCGGCGUGCUUAACACAUGCAAGUCGAGCGGCGCGGCGAACGGGUGAGUAACGCGUGAGUAACUGCCCCCCUCUCUGGGAUAACAGCUGGAAACGGCUGCUAAUACCGGCUAGUGGGGGGUGUUUCGGGUCUAAUCGGCUUGUGGGUGGGGUAGGGGCCUACCAGGGGGACUAGGGGUAGCCGGCCUGGGCGGGCGAACGGCCACAUGGGGCUGAGGUAGGGACCAAACUCCUACGGGAGGCAGCAGUGGGGAAUAUUGCACAAUGGGGGAAACCCUGAUGCAGCAACGCGCGAGCGGAAUGACGGCUUUCGGGUUGUAAACCGCGUUCAGCCAUGACGCGGUAGUGGCAGAAGAAGCACCGGCUAACUACGUGCCAGCAGCCGCGGUAAUUC